Molecule: ribosomal RNA, 253 nt
Filed under: uncultured bacterium
Lineage: Bacteria
Description: partial 16S ribosomal RNA
Rfam family: Bacterial small subunit ribosomal RNA
Source: RNAcentral
UACAGAGGGGGCAAGCGUUGUUCGGAAUUACUGGGCGUAAAGGGCGCGUAGGCGGCCUGCUAAGUCGAACGUGAAAUCCCCGGGCUCAACCCGGGAACUGCGUCCGAUACUGGUGGGCUUGAAUCCGGGAGAGGGAUGUGGAAUUCCAGGUGUAGCGGUGAAAUGCGUAGAUAUCUGGAGGAACACCGGUGGCGAAGGCGGCAUCCUGGACCGAUAUUGACGCUGAUGCGCGAAAGCCAGGGGAGCAAACGGG